GGGGAAUCUUGCGCAAUGGGCGAAAGCCUGACGCAGCAACGCCGCGUGCGGGAUGAAGGCCUUCGGGUUGUAAACCGCUUUCAGCAGGGACGAAAUUGACGGUACCUGCAGAAGAAGCCCCGGCCAACUACGUGCCAGCAGCCGCGGUAACACGUAGGGGGCGAGCGUUGUCCGGAUUUAUUGGGCGUAAAGAGCUCGUAGGCGGCUUUGUCAGUCGGGUGUGAAACCUCCAGGCUCAACCUGGAGCCGCCAUCCGAUACUGCAAUGGCUAGAGUCCGGUAGGGGAGCAUGGAACUCCUGGUGUAGCGGUGAAAUGCGCAGAUAUCAGGAAGAACACCAGUGGCGAAGGCGGUGCUCUGGGCCGGAACUGACGCUGAGGAGCGAAAGCGUGGGUAGCGAAC
Molecule: ribosomal RNA, 401 nt
Filed under: uncultured bacterium
Lineage: Bacteria
Description: bacterial SSU rRNA
Rfam family: Bacterial small subunit ribosomal RNA
Source: RNAcentral